This 1070-nucleotide small RNA is filed under the name Pongo abelii (Sumatran orangutan). Its description in RNAcentral is "processed transcript". Lineage: Eukaryota; Metazoa; Chordata; Mammalia; Primates; Hominidae. The record is from RNAcentral.
GCGGCGAGGCGGGCUCUGGGUCCUCACCCGGCCAGGCCGAGCUUAGUAUGUGGAGGCGGCAGCGGGAGUGCGGGCAUGGACCAAGGGAAGGGGGACACCCAAACCGUACUGGUGCUUUCCUUUCCCUCCACUCGCGCCGUAGCCCUCCCCAAAUUGCCCGUCUCCGGUAUGACUGAAUCUGUCUGCUGGCCUCUCAGCUACCAACUUUGCCCGAAAUCUAGAUCCCAGACCUGCUCCUGGGAAGUUCUAGGAUGUGACUUUAAACUGGAAUGACUCUCAGGAGCUAGGUUUGAUAUGGCACAAUCUCAAGGCAUUGCUAAGUCUGAAGUUCUUCCAGCAGGUCUGUAAACCACAAAGGACAAGCAGCUCAGAGAUUAGCGAAUGCGUCUCAGCUGUCCUAGAAAAGUGCUGUCAGCAAGUCUGAAGAGUUUCCCAGAAGCCCUGAAAGGACGCAAUAGCAUCGUUUAGCAGAAAGAAACAGCCCUGGAUUAAUGUUCUUUUGGGAUCCAUCUUCUGGCUUUGUGAUUUUAGGCAAGUUACUUAUCUUCCUCCAUUUAUUCACAUAUAUAAUGAGAGGAGUAAUACCUACCUUACAAACUUUUCUGUGAGAAGCAAAAAAAUAAAAAAUAAUAAAAAAUAAAAUUGUUAAAUAUUUGCUAUGUGUAAAAUGCUUAUUCCUUUAAAGUUUUCAUGUCAGUUAAAACAUGUUAUUGGCUUGAAUCCUGAUAAAAACAUGUUAUUGGCUUGAAUCCUGACUCAAGAAUGGAAAUAGUAAUUGUGCCUGCCAUUCAGGGUGGCACAGUUAUUUCCAUUGGUUCAGGGUGGUGGGGUGGGAGCUACUAGAUAGAACAGGUGGGGCAAUUCUUGAUACAUUUUAGUGUUUUUUGUUACUACUAAUCCACCAACUCUUGUUUUCACUCAGAAGCACAUAAAAUGGACAUAUUUAUUAUAGACUGAAAAAAUCAUAAAUGAGAUUAAUUUUAAAAAUAAAAUGAAAAGGAGAAUAAUUGUUUAUGAAUGUAUGGUUUAUAAGUUCUCAAUGUAUGAUUUAUAAGUUCUGCAUGUAUGCA